UCUCAGGGUAUCUGAUUUGUCUUUCUGCAGUGUACGUUGACCUGAAUAAGUGGCCAUAGGUCCCUCAGGGAAGGACUGAGAAAAUCAUCACAAUACAUGUUUGCCAUGAUGUCCUUCCUGCUAGCAAGCCAGACACCUCUUCACAAAAAUACCGUACUGGGAAAAUGAGGCCUUCAAACUUCCGAUGCUACAGAAGAGCCAACAAAAAGCAUGAGCAGCGAAGACUUGGUAUCAUAUUUGAGAAAGAAUAGGUCCACUAUUUCUUUUCUCCCCUCCAACUCCUGACAAGUCCUUCCAAAAAGAACCACACAACUAAUGCCUAGGAAGAGACAAAGCCAAUCAUGAUGCCAUGAUUAUGACAUUUUCCAAUAUAUAAGGGAUGAGACUAAUAGGACCAACACUUAGAUCCAGAGGCUUGCCUGCACACAAGCGCUAGUAGUAUUCUAUCAUAUCUUGUC
Suricata suricatta (meerkat) is the source of this 458-nucleotide long non-coding RNA. RefSeq lists it as uncharacterized. The record is from RefSeq and is a predicted model, not a curated record. The transcript is spliced from 3 exons. NCBI's taxonomy places the organism in Eukaryota, Metazoa, Chordata, Mammalia, Carnivora, Herpestidae.